GGAGUCGGCCAGACAACCGCGUCGUUCAACCGAACGCCGAGGAAAGUCCGGGCUCCACAGGGCAAGGUGCCAGGUAACGCCUGGGCGGCGCGAGCCGACGGAAAGUGCAACAGAGAGCAGACCGCCGAUGGCCAUCGGCGCCAUGUGCCGCAAGGCACGGACACCGUCGCCGCGCGCAUGCGCGCCACGGUGCGCCCGGCACAGCCGGUGGCGUCGAUGGAUCAGGCAAGGGUGAAACGGUGCGGUAAGAGCGCACCGCGAGUCCGGCAACGGACCGGCACGGCAAACCCCACCUGGAGCAAGACCGAAUAGGGGGACCAUGGCGCGGCCCGCGUCGUCCCCGGGUUGGUCGCUUGAGCCGCACGGCGACGUGCGGCCCAGAGGAAUGGUUGUCCACGACAGAACCCGGCUUAUCGGCCGACUCUUUCU
RNAcentral lists this RNase P RNA (429 nucleotides) under Lysobacterales bacterium. Its description in RNAcentral is "RNase P RNA component class A". It matches the Rfam family "Bacterial RNase P class A". From Rfam's summary of the family: Ribonuclease P (RNase P) is a ubiquitous endoribonuclease, found in archaea, bacteria and eukarya as well as chloroplasts and mitochondria. Its best characterised activity is the generation of mature 5'-ends of tRNAs by cleaving the 5'-leader elements of precursor-tRNAs. Cellular RNase Ps are ribonucleoproteins. RNAcentral also lists the same sequence under 1 other name. Lineage: Bacteria; Pseudomonadati; Pseudomonadota; Gammaproteobacteria; Lysobacterales. The record is from RNAcentral.